AACAAGGCCUAAGUUUGCCAUUUUGAAAUCCCGCCAGUGCAAAAAUGCAGGAAAAUAAGGCCUAGUCCACAUGGACAUGGGUAUUUCUAACCUGAGUUUUUCCUCCAAACAAAUCCUGUUCACACAUGCUCAGUUUAAAAGAAAUCUCUGUCCACAUGAAAAAGCAAAAACACGCUAUCAAGCACUGUCAAGAGCAUGCCACACCAGUAGGCAACAAUAUAACCUCUGAUGUCAAAUACAGCAGAUAACGGUGCACACUCUGACGUCGCAGGGCAAAAACCCUGGUUUUACUGCAUCCAUCGUUUUCUUAAAAUCCUUACCCUGGCAGGGAUUUUCAAAAAUGUUUGGUUUUAGUGCCCUGAUACUGAAUUUUUGCGUGGACAAACGGCCGAACCACGUUUAAAAAUGACACGGCUUUAAAAAUACUCGGGUCCGUGUGGACUAGGUCUAAGUCUUUAAUAGAAUCGUGAGUGUCCAUUGAGUUUACAUAUUACAAAUACACAGAUAAUGUUGCUUUGUUUGAAUGCAAAUGGGGUGUGAGAGAGGCUGACUUUUUAAUAAUGGUUGUUGUGGAUCUUGUAUCAAAUUUGUCUUAAGCCCUGUUUUCUUUCUCUCUCUCUCUCUCUCUCUCUCUCUCUCCUAUAUAAUUUGAAAAUUACAUUGCUGUAGUUUGCAAUGAAUUGUGGGAGCAUGCUAAAUGCAAAUUUUACAGUAUGUCUGCAAUAUUGUAUUUUUAAAAUAGGCUAAUAUGUAAAUGCUACAGGACAACAUGUAAUGACACUUAUUAUUUUAUUUUAUGUAUUUAUUGAAAAUGUCAGCUGUGGUACUAGUUUGGAAAUAAAAGCUUUGGCACUUUACAAUAACUGCAAUAAAUGCAGCCUAUUAAAUGAAUUAUAAACAUGCAUGUAGAUUCUUUUAAUGUACAAAUCUUUGUCAAAAAUAUUUGAUAAGAAACACAUUUAGACAACAUGUGCAUAGCGCAGUACGUGUGAUGUCACGACGUCAUCAGCAAAUUUGCGCGCGGUGCACAUGCGCAUUGCGAGUAUGCGCAGACAGGUGUCUACGGAGUGGAAAGAAGUUGUUGCAUCUGAUAAUUCUUCAAUCGUGUAGCAGCAACUGCAGCUUACAUGGAAUGAGGAUUAUCGGAUUCAUCUACACUCACUGAUCAUCCAAGGUGAAUUGAUGACCUCAAGCAAAUGGAUGUUGUUGUCAUCUGAAGAGAAGGUUGUCCUGGGCCCAUGUUUAGAGGCAUUUGGGGCAUAUCAGACACAUAUCAGAAUCAAGCUGCAUGCACACUUGAGUUUAUUCAGAGAGAAGUUGUGGGCAUCAGUCCGGAAACUGGAUCAAAAAUUUGCUGCUGGAAUGUGAGACAAAUAAAGGCAUGGAAUGAACCCAAAUGUAUGAACACUGCUACGAAAACUAAUGGACUUUAAAUGGCUUGCCAGUUAAUUCCAAUGGAAUUGAAGAAGAGACUCUGACAAGAUUUUCAAGUUUGUGUUUAAUUUAAAAGUUUAUCUUCAUAGAUAAGCAAUUUAAAGGUAGGCACAGUUAAAACUAUUUCUUGUGUGUUUGUUUAAACUGUAAAUUUAUGACUGAAGUUUGGUCACUAUGUAGUAAUGUGUUCCUUUGUGGUUAAUUAAAUGCUGCAGUGCUUAGUGGUAUUCGUUGUUGUAUUUCCAAGGCUAAAGCCUUAUUUUGUGAUCUGCAUUGUAUUGGAGAGUUUUGGAAACUAAUACUUAUUAUCUUAAUGCAUUGGAAAGUUUUGGACUAUUGAACAAUAAAUGCAUUUGGCUACA
Paramisgurnus dabryanus is the source of this 1796-nucleotide non-coding RNA. Lineage: Eukaryota; Metazoa; Chordata; Actinopteri; Cypriniformes; Cobitidae. The record is from RefSeq and is a predicted model, not a curated record.